This 486-nucleotide ribosomal RNA is filed under the name uncultured bacterium. Its description in RNAcentral is "partial 16S ribosomal RNA". It matches the Rfam family "Bacterial small subunit ribosomal RNA", at positions 30 to 507 of the family's 1533-position model. The record is from RNAcentral.
AUUGAACGCUGGCGGCAUGCCUUACACAUGCAAGUCGAACGGCAGCACGGGUGCUUGCACCUGGUGGCGAGUGGCGAACGGGUGAGUAAUACAUCGGAACAUGUCCUGUAGUGGGGGAUAGCCCGGCGAAAGCCGGAUUAAUACCGCAUACGAUCCACGGAUGAAAGCGGGGGACCUUCGGGCCUCGCGCUAUAGGGUUGGCCGAUGGCUGAUUAGCUAGUUGGUGGGGUAAAGGCCUACCAAGGCGACGAUCAGUAGCUGGUCUGAGAGGACGACCAGCCACACUGGGACUGAGACACGGCCCAGAUUCCUACGGGAGGCAGCAGUGGGGAAUUUUGGACAAUGGGCGAAAGCCUGAUCCAGCAAUGCCGCGUGUGUGAAGAAGGCCUUCGGGUUGUAAAGCACUUUUGUCCGGAAAGAAAUCCUUGACUCUAAUACAGUCGGGGGAUGACGGUACCGGAAGAAUAAGCACCGGCUAACUACGUG